GUGACGGCCCAGUCGGCUUCCUCGGGCGGAGGGGUGCGGAGGGGUGCGUACAGGCCCGCGGCCCCAGCGGCGGCCCUGCUGCGUCCGCGUCUCCGGCAUGCGCCAGGCGGGCUGGGGCGGCCAGGCCGCGAGCUCAGCGCCCACCUGAGGUAACUCCCGCAGCCUCGGGCCGUGCGUGCCCCACGCCGCGCGCAGCCGCCGCCGCCGUCCGCCGUCGAGGCCGCCCGAGCCCCCGGCCCGGCAGGGGGUGUGGCUGCUGCUGCGCGGCCCGCGACAGAUUUAGUCUGUGGGAGUCUAAAGGACCUCAAUUGGAGAUAUUUUCCUCAAGAGACCAUUCGAAUAUGAAAUCUGCUAGGAAGUAGGGAGCACUUUUGUCCUGGAUGAUGUUACCCACUUUUCAGAGUACCAGUACUCAGUACUCAUUACAGGUACAUUUUAUUUAGCUGGCCUUGUGAGUGGAAAGGGAUGCUAACAACUUCUUGAUCAAUUUAUCCAUUAUCCUCCUGAUUCUAACUUUACCUUAAGCCCCCAGUCCUUCUGGAGCUACCCAGUGUUGUCAGUUCCUCAGCUUUCUGCACAAGUUUUAUAAUGUAAAUUAGCUGUCUCAGGGCUUCCCGGCUGCCAGCUUAGAAUUCAUCAUUUUUGGGCCUGCUGAAUCAGUUACUAUUCAUGGCCCUGCUCCAUUGUGUGGAUGUACCACAGUUUUUUUACCCACUCACCUACUGAAGGACAUUUUGGUCUCUUCCAAGUUUAGGCAAUUAUGAAUAAAACUGCUAUAAACAUCCAUGUGCAGGCUUUUGUGUGGACAUAAGCUUUCACUUCAUUUGGGUAAAUACCAAGGAAUGUGAUUGCUGGAUAAUAUGGUAAGAGUAAGUUUAGUUUUGUAAGAAACCUCCAAACUGUCUUCCGAAGUGGCUGAACCAUUUUGGAUUCCCACCAGCAGUGAAUGAGAAUUCCUGUUCCUCCGCAUCUUCACCAGCAUUUGGUGGUGUUGUCAGUGUUCUUGACUUUGGCCAUUCUAAUAGGUGUAUAGUGGUAUCCCAUUGUUGUUUUCAUUUGCAUUUCCCUGG
This 1070-nucleotide long non-coding RNA is filed under the name Equus asinus (donkey). RNAcentral describes it as "lncRNA (ENSEASG00005032462.1)". The record is from RNAcentral. Lineage: Eukaryota; Metazoa; Chordata; Mammalia; Perissodactyla; Equidae.